RNAcentral lists this long non-coding RNA (1691 nucleotides) under Cricetulus griseus (Chinese hamster). RNAcentral's name for it is "lncRNA (ENSCGRG00015040299.1)". The record is from RNAcentral. Lineage: Eukaryota; Metazoa; Chordata; Mammalia; Rodentia; Cricetidae.
CUAAUUUCUGUAGGAACAUCUGAAAAUAUUUAGUCUACUGUGACUGUUUUUACCUAUUAUGACUACAAAUGAAUUGGUUUACAAGCCCCGUCUUUCGCCACAUCUCAGCAGAGAGGUGCAGGCAAUGGGAUUCAAAAAAUACCAAAUGGGGGAUAAGUAUCCAGGUUCUAAAUAAUAAAUUAGGUCACAAAUUUUUGUGUCUUUUUAACUAGUACUGAAGUUAUAUUAUGCGGUUUUUCUACAGGUAUUAAAUAUAUUACAAGUUUUAUUCUUACCAAUGAAUAAUUUGAAUAUCAUUGGCCUGUCUGACCUCUAGGUCAUCAUCAUUCUCAGAGACUCACCCACAGCGGGUUACCUCAGUGGUGUGUGUGUGUGUGUGUGUGUGUGUGUGUGUGUGUGUGUGUUUUAUUUUCUCACUUCCUUUAUAUUUUGGCUGUUAACGUCCCUUUUUUGUCUCCGUGAACAGGAAAGUUUUUAUGUGAGGCUUCAGUUGGUGUUGAAGUUGCCCUCUGAAGGCCCAGUUAGUUAUUGAGGGGCAGCUCAGUAGCUCCUCUAGUUGAAAUCAGGUUGCACCCCGGCAUGUACAGUAAAGACACAGCUCAUGUAUGACAUGUGGAGUGUGGUGGCACAGACAGACAGAUCAGCACUGCUCCCACAGCCAUGCCCUGUGUAACACAUCGUUUGUAAGGGCAGAGUGGUCCUUGGAGACAAGAACUCUUGUAUCAGGGAAUACCUUUCCAAGUUAGGAGGACUUCAACAGAUUGAGGAAAUAAUAUGGAAAAAGACAAGGACAAGCACCUGACUUCAGGCAUGCACAGAGACAGACAGUGUUGGACAUUGCCUUCGACAGAUUAGGCGCAUAUAUGUAUUAAAUGAUGCUCUGUAUCCCUCUGUAAUACAAGCCUGUCUUGAUUAGUCCAUACCACACUGUGGUGAUGCUACCUUAGAAGUAUUCCUUUUGUAUCAUGUCAGUGUUUUUAAGUUGCGUGUUCGUACUGUCUUAUAGUGAUAUCCACCUCCAUACCUGUAACACUGACCACGUCCAAAAGGCGUGUUCCAGGAGAAGGCUGUCAGCUGUGUCAAGAAUUCAUGGCCAUCAGUAUUUAUUUAGUAUUGCUGCUUCACGUUUCCCUAGUGCACCUUGAACGCCAGGUCAGUGGCUGCAUCAAAGCUGUGGGAGAUCUUUCACGUGCAUUUUUUUAAAAUAUAUUUUUAGAAACCAAAUGGCUGCAGAUGGCUAUUUAGCAUACUGUUAAACCAGCAGAACUCUAAAGGCAAUAAAUGUAUGCAUAUGUGUUGGGGGGUGGGGAGAGUGAAAAUACAGGUUUACAGCCAGACAGGGUGAUAGCCCUUCAGUGCAUUUCUCAGUGUCUCAUCACUGACCAAGAAGGAUUUGAGUUGCUGCAGCUUUAGACAGAAAGUGUCCAUGUUCACUGACUGUGGGCCAUAAAUAUGCUUUUAGUAUCGCUUUGCUGAUGUAUAAAUAAGAAAUCUGUAAUAUGUAUUAUAUGUAAUUAUUUUCUUUUGACUUCAUUUCAAAAUGUAUAUUUUCUGAUUAUUAUCAUGAGCUAUAAAGCGAAAGAUCAAUAUCUGAUAUUCUCCCAAAUAAUAAAUUUUCAAGACUCAUUGGGGCAGUACAAUUGUUGUUUUCUUUCUUAUAACACUUAAUACUUCAAGAUAUAAUUUUGUUU